Molecule: ribosomal RNA, 253 nt
Filed under: uncultured bacterium
Lineage: Bacteria
Description: partial 16S ribosomal RNA
Rfam family: Bacterial small subunit ribosomal RNA
Source: RNAcentral
UACGUAGGGGGCGAGCGUUGUCCGGAUUUAUUGGGCGUAAAGAGCUCGUAGGCGGCUGUUCGAGUCGGGUGUGAAACCCCAGGGCUUAACUCUGGGCCUGCAUUCGAUACUGGGCGGCUUGAGUCUGGUAGGGGGAUCUGGAAUUCCUGGUGUAGCGGUGGAAUGCGCAGAUAUCAGGAGGAACACCCGUGGCGAAGGCGGUUCUCUGGGACGGUACUGACGCUGAGACGCGAAAGCGUGGGGAGCGAACAGG